This 68-nucleotide transfer RNA is filed under the name Reticulitermes tibialis. RNAcentral describes it as "tRNA-Asn". Lineage: Eukaryota; Metazoa; Arthropoda; Insecta; Blattodea; Rhinotermitidae. The record is from RNAcentral.
UUGAUCGAAACCAAAAAGAGGUAUAUUAUUGUUAAUAAUAAAACUGAAUUAAAAACAUUCCGUUCAAG